CAGCCGCCGCGGUAAUACGAGGGGGGCAAGCGUUGUUCGGAAUUAUUGGGCGUAAAGGGUGCGUAGGCGGUUUGAUAAGUCAUCUGUGAAAUCUCUGGGCUCAACCCAGAGUCUGCAGGCGAAACUGUCGGGCUUGAGUAUGGGAGAGGUGAGUGGAAUUUCCGGUGUAGCGGUGAAAUGCGUAGAUAUCGGAAGGAACACCUGUGGCGAAAGCGGCUCACUGGACCAUAACUGACGCUGAUGCACGAAAGCUAGGGGAGCAAACAGGAUUAGAUACCCGAGUAGUCCAUGUCUCUUAUAC
Molecule: ribosomal RNA, 301 nt
Filed under: uncultured bacterium
Lineage: Bacteria
Description: partial 16S ribosomal RNA
Rfam family: Bacterial small subunit ribosomal RNA
Source: RNAcentral